RNAcentral lists this ribosomal RNA (465 nucleotides) under uncultured bacterium. RNAcentral describes it as "partial 16S ribosomal RNA". It matches the Rfam family "Bacterial small subunit ribosomal RNA", at positions 338 to 795 of the family's 1533-position model. The record is from RNAcentral.
CCUACGGGAGGCAGCAGUAGGGAAUCUUGCGCAAUGGGCGAAAGCCUGACGCAGCGACGCCGCGUGAGGGAUGAAGGUCUUCGGAUCGUAAACCUCUGUCAGCAGGGAAGAACGGUCACUGUGCUAAUCAGCAGUGACUUGACGGUACCUGCACAGGAAGCACCGGCUAACUCCGUGCCAGCAGCCGCGGUAAUACGGAGGUGGCGAGCGUUAAUCGGAAUUACUGGGCGUAAAGCGCGCGUAGGCGGUAUGUCAAGUCAAGGGUGAAAUCCCCGCGCUCAACGUGGGAACGGCCUUUGAAACUGGCAAACUGGAGUGUGUGAGAGGAUAGUGGAAUUCCAGGUGUAGGGGUGAAAUCCGUAGAUAUCUGGAGGAACAUCAGUGGCGAAGGCGACUAUCUGGCACAUAACUGACGCUGAGGAGCGAAAGCGUGGGUAGCAAACAGGAUUAGAUACCCGGGUAGUC